UGAUCAGCCAUUCCGCGUGAGUGAAGAAGGCCUUCGGGUUGUAAAGCUCUUUCGCAAGGGAAGAAAACUUACACAAUAACACUGUGUGAGGCUGACGGUACCUUGAUAAGAAGCACCGGCUAACUACGUGCCAGCAGCCGCGGUAAUACGUAGGGUGCGAGCGUUAAUCGGAAUUACUGGGCGUAAAGCGUGCGCAGGCGGUUUUGUAAGUCAGAUGUGAAAUCCCCGAGCUCAACUUGGGAACUGCGUUUGAAACUACAAGACUAGAAUAUGUCAGAGGGGGGUAGAAUUCCACGUGUAGCAGUGAAAUGCGUAGAGAUGUGGAGGAAUACCAAUGGCGAAGGCAGCCCCCUGGGAUAAUAUUGACGCUCAUGCACGAAAGCGUGGGGAGCAAACAGGAUUAGAUACCCUGGUAGUCCACGCCCUAAACGAUGUCUACUAGUUGUUGGUGGAGUAAAAUCCAUGAGUAACGCAGCUAACGCGUGAAGUAGACCGCCUGGGGAGUACGGUCGCAAGAUUAAAACUCAAAGGA
This 532-nucleotide ribosomal RNA is filed under the name uncultured bacterium. Its description in RNAcentral is "bacterial SSU rRNA". It matches the Rfam family "Bacterial small subunit ribosomal RNA", at positions 384 to 908 of the family's 1533-position model. The record is from RNAcentral.